UCAGGACAUGACAAGUUCCUCAGGGCAAA
This 29-nucleotide non-coding RNA is filed under the name Homo sapiens (human). Lineage: Eukaryota; Metazoa; Chordata; Mammalia; Primates; Hominidae. The record is from RNAcentral.